This is a small nuclear RNA of Myripristis murdjan (pinecone soldierfish), 185 nucleotides long. Its record names the gene U1. It matches the Rfam family "U1 spliceosomal RNA". From Rfam's summary of the family: U1 is a small nuclear RNA (snRNA) component of the spliceosome (involved in pre-mRNA splicing). Lineage: Eukaryota; Metazoa; Chordata; Actinopteri; Holocentriformes; Holocentridae. The record is from Ensembl.
AGAGUUACAGAGUUUCGGUGUCAUUGUGGAAGAUGAUCUCACUGCUAGGUUUCCUCUACAUAUACACCCAGGGUGAAGCUCAGCUAUUGCACUCCGGCUGUGCUGACCCCUGCAAAUUCCCCAAAUGUGGAAAUCUUGACUGCAUAAUUUCCAGUUGUGGGGGGCUGUGUUUGCGCUCUGCCCUG